AAUAUAAUCUCUCCAUUCGGAAUUACUUGUUAUCAAAAUGAAUGUAUCUAGAAUUAAAAUACAUCUAGAUAUAUCCAUUUCAAUGACAAGUAUUUCCGAACGGAGGGAGUAUGAG
Molecule: non-coding RNA, 115 nt
Organism: Triticum aestivum (bread wheat)
Lineage: Eukaryota; Viridiplantae; Streptophyta; Magnoliopsida; Poales; Poaceae
Source: Rfam